GGCGCCAUAGCCAAGUGGUAAGGCAGGGGCCUGCAAAGCCCCGAUUCCCCAGUUCAAGUCUGGGUGGCGCCUCCA
Molecule: transfer RNA, 75 nt
Filed under: Clostridia bacterium
Lineage: Bacteria; Bacillati; Bacillota; Clostridia
Description: tRNA-Cys
Rfam family: tRNA
About the family: Transfer RNA (tRNA) molecules are approximately 80 nucleotides in length.
Source: RNAcentral